RNAcentral lists this ribosomal RNA (253 nucleotides) under uncultured bacterium. Its description in RNAcentral is "partial 16S ribosomal RNA". It matches the Rfam family "Bacterial small subunit ribosomal RNA", at positions 524 to 776 of the family's 1533-position model. The record is from RNAcentral.
UACGUAGGGACCGAGCGUUGUCCGGAAUCAUUGGGCGUAAAGAGCGUGUAGGCGGCUUGUUAAGUCUUGCGUGAAAUCUCGGGGCUCAACCCCGAGCGGUCGUGAGAAACUGGAUGGCUAGAGUCCUGGAGAGGAAGGUGGAAUGCUUGGUGUAGAGGUGAAAUUCGUAGAUAUCAAGCGGAACAGCGGUGGCGAAGGCGGCCUUCUGGACAGUGACUGACGCUGAGACGCGAAAGCGUGGGGAGCAAACAGG